UACGGAGGGUGCAAGCGUUAUCCGGAUUCACUGGGUUUAAAGGGUGCGUAGGCGGGCAGGUAAGUCAGUGGUGAAAUCUCCGGGCUUAACCCGGAAACUGCCGUUGAUACUACCUGUCUUGAAUAUCGUGGAGGUAAGCGGAAUAUGUCAUGUAGCGGUGAAAUGCUUAGAUAUGACAUAGAACACUCAUUGCGAAGGCAGCUUACUACACGAUCAUUGACGCUGAGGCACGAAAGCGUGGGGAGCAAACAGG
Molecule: ribosomal RNA, 253 nt
Filed under: uncultured bacterium
Lineage: Bacteria
Description: partial 16S ribosomal RNA
Rfam family: Bacterial small subunit ribosomal RNA
Source: RNAcentral